Molecule: ribosomal RNA, 253 nt
Filed under: uncultured bacterium
Lineage: Bacteria
Description: partial 16S ribosomal RNA
Rfam family: Bacterial small subunit ribosomal RNA
Source: RNAcentral
UACGUAGGGUGCAAGCGUUGUCCGGAAUUAUUGGGCGUAAAGAGCUCGUAGGCGGUUUGUCGCGUCUGCUGUGAAAAUCCAGGGCUUAACCCUGGACCUGCAGUGGGUACGGGCAGACUGGAGUGCGGUAGGGGAGAUCGGAAUUCCUGGUGUAGCGGUGAAAUGCGCAGAUAUCAGGAGGAACACCGGUGGCGAAGGCGGAUCUCUGGGCCGUAACUGACACUGAGGAACGAAAGCCAGGGUAGCGAAUGGG